Molecule: ribosomal RNA, 579 nt
Filed under: Meloidogyne enterolobii
Lineage: Eukaryota; Metazoa; Nematoda; Chromadorea; Rhabditida; Meloidogynidae
Description: SSU rRNA
Rfam family: Eukaryotic small subunit ribosomal RNA
Source: RNAcentral
UAUUGCUGCGGUUAAAAAGCUCGUAGUUGGAUUCGUAUCGGUACCUUGGAACCCUUCGGGUGUUUCUGGGUGUUAUCGAUUUAUCGUAAUGUUCGGUUUUGAGUCCUUAACAGGAUUUUUAACAGUCAUUGCAAGUUUACUUUGAACAAAUCAGAGUGCUUCAAACAGGCGUUUUCGCUUGAAUGAUCGUGCAUGGAAUAAUAGAAAACGAUUUCGGUUCAGUUUUAUUGGUUUUACGGACUGAGAUAAUGGUUAACAGAGACAAACGGGGGCAUUUGUAUGGCCCCGUGAGAGGUGAAAUUCUUGGACCGUGGCCGGACAAAUACAGCGAAAGCAUUUGCCAAGAAUGUCUUCAUUAAUCAAGAACGAAAGUCAGAGGUUCGAAGGCGAUCAGAUACCGCCCUAGUUCUGACCGUAAACGAUGCCAACAGCGAUCCGCUGAUGGAAAUUAUUUUGCCUUGGUGGGGAGCUUCCCGGAAACGAAAGUCUUCCGGUUCCGGGGGAAGUAUGGUUGCAAAGCUGAAACUUAAAGGAAUUGACGGAAGGGCACCACCAGGAGUGGAGCCUGCGGCUUAAUUU